This 428-nucleotide ribosomal RNA is filed under the name uncultured Desulfovibrio sp. RNAcentral describes it as "partial 16S ribosomal RNA". It matches the Rfam family "Bacterial small subunit ribosomal RNA", at positions 355 to 774 of the family's 1533-position model. The record is from RNAcentral. Lineage: Bacteria; Pseudomonadati; Thermodesulfobacteriota; Desulfovibrionia; Desulfovibrionales; Desulfovibrionaceae.
UGGGGAAUAUUGCGCAAUGGGCGAAAGCCUGACGCAGCGACGCCUCGUGAGGGAUGAAGGUCUUCGGAUCGUAAACCUCUGUCAAGAGGGAAGAAACCUUUGGAUUCGAAUAGGGUCCUUAGCUGACGGUACCUCUAAAGGAAGCACCGGCUAACUCCGUGCCAGCAGCCGCGGUAAUACGGAGGGUGCAAGCGUUAAUCGGAAUCACUGGGCGUAAAGCGCUCGUAGGCUGUUUGGUAAGUCAGAUGUGAAAGCCCUCGGCUUAACCGGGGAACUGCAUUUGAUACUGCCAGACUUGAGUGUCGGAGAGGGUGGCGGAAUUCCGGGUGUAGGAGUGAAAUCCGUAGAUAUCCGGAGGAACACCAGUGGCGAAGGCGGCCACCUGGACGACAACUGACGCUGAGGAGCGAAAGCGUGGGGAGCAAACA